This 627-nucleotide ribosomal RNA is filed under the name uncultured bacterium. Its description in RNAcentral is "bacterial SSU rRNA". It matches the Rfam family "Bacterial small subunit ribosomal RNA", at positions 34 to 692 of the family's 1533-position model. The record is from RNAcentral.
CGCUGGCGGCGUGCCUAACACAUGCAAGUCGAACGAGAAAGUGGAGCAAUCCAUGAGUAAAGUGGCGGCGGGUGAGUAACACGUGACUAACCUACCCUUGAGUGGGGGAUAACUUCGGGAAACCGAGGCUAAUACCGCAUAAUACCUUCGGGUCAAAAGGAGUAAUUCGCUUAAGGAGGGGGGUCGCGGCUGAUUAGCUAGUUGGUAGGGUAAUGGCCUACCAAGGCAAUGAUCAGUAUCCGGCCUGAGAGGGCGCACGGACACACUGGAACUGAAACACGGUCCAGACUCCUACGGGAGGCAGCAGUGGGGAAUUUUGCACAAUGGGGGAAACCCUGAUGCAGCAACGCCGCGUGGAGGAUGAAGUCCCUUGGGAUGUAAACUCCUUUCGACCGGGACGAUAAUGACGGUACCGGUGGAAGAAGCCCCGGCUAACUCUGUGCCAGCAGCCGCGGUAAUACAGAGGGGGCAAGCGUUGUUCGGAAUUAUUGGGCGUAAAGGGUGCGUAGGCGGUGCGGUAAGUCUUCUGUGAAAUCUCCGGGCUCAACUCGGAGUCUGCAGGAGAAACUGCCGUGCUUGAGUAUGGGAGAGGUGAGUGGAAUUCCUGGUGUAGCGGUGAAAUGCGUA